AUUGAACGCUGGCGGCAUGCUUUACACAUGCAAGUCGGACGGCAGCACAGAGAAGCUUGCUUCUUGGGUGGCGAGUGGCGAACGGGUGAGUAACAUAUCGGAACGUACCGAGCAGUGGGGGAUAACUAAUCGAAAGAUUAGCUAAUACCGCAUAUCUUCUGAGGAAGAAAGCAGGGGACCAUUUGGCCUUGCGCUGUUUGAGCGGCCGAUAUCUGAUUAGCUAGUUGGUGGGGUAAAGGCCUACCAAGGCGACGAUCAGUAGCGGGUCUGAGAGGAUGAUCCGCCACACUGGGACUGAGACACGGCCCAGACUCCUACGGGAGGCAGCAGUGGGGAAUUUUGGACAUUGGGCGCAAGCCUGAUCCAGCCAUGCCGCGUGUCUGAAGAAGGCCUUCGGGUUGUAAAGGACUUUUGUCAGGGAAGAAAAGGGCGGGGUUAAUACCCCUGUCUGAUGACGGUACCUGAAGAAUAAGCACCGGCUAACUACGUG
This 490-nucleotide ribosomal RNA is filed under the name uncultured bacterium. Its description in RNAcentral is "partial 16S ribosomal RNA". It matches the Rfam family "Bacterial small subunit ribosomal RNA", at positions 30 to 507 of the family's 1533-position model. The record is from RNAcentral.